CAGUCGAACGAUUAAAGCCCCUUCGGGGGUGUAUAAAGUGGCGAACGGGUGAGUAACAGGUGGAUAAUCUACCUCUCAGUGGGGAAUACCAGUUGGAAACGGCUGUUAAUACCGCAUGCGAUUGUGACUUCUUCGGAAGAUGCAAGGAAAGGGCCUUUUGGCUCGCUGAGAGAUGAGUCCGCCCCCCAUUAGGUAGUUGGUGUGAUAAAAGCGCACCAAGCCAUUGAUGGGUAGCCGGACUGAGAGGUUGGCCGGCCACACUGGAACUGGGACACGGUCCAGACACCUACGGGUGGCAGCAGUAGGGAAUAUUGCGCAAUGAACGAAAGUUUGACGCAGCCAUGCCGCGUGGACGAUGAAGGCCUUCGGGUCGUAAAGUCCUUUUAUCAGGGAAGAACAAGUGGAGGAGUAAAAUGCCUCCGCCCUGACGGUACCUGAUGAAUAAGCACCGGCUAAUUCCGUGCCAGCAGCCGCGGUAAUACGGGAGGUGCGAGCGUUAAUCGGAAUUACUGGGCGUAAAGCGAGCG
RNAcentral lists this ribosomal RNA (527 nucleotides) under uncultured bacterium. RNAcentral describes it as "bacterial SSU rRNA". It matches the Rfam family "Bacterial small subunit ribosomal RNA", at positions 59 to 571 of the family's 1533-position model. The record is from RNAcentral.